GUAAGUAAAUGUUAGGGCCUUGUUGCCUGACGCUGCAAUAUGGUAUACUCACAACAGAGUCAGUGAUGGUGUAGGUGCUGGUAGUCUGUUUGUCGUCCUCGCGGUAGUGCGUGACGCGACGCACUCUCAACUGGCCGCGCUCGCCAAAC
Maniola jurtina (meadow brown) is the source of this 149-nucleotide long non-coding RNA. RefSeq lists it as uncharacterized. Lineage: Eukaryota; Metazoa; Arthropoda; Insecta; Lepidoptera; Nymphalidae. The record is from RefSeq and is a predicted model, not a curated record. The transcript is spliced from 3 exons.